UACGUAGGGGGCAAGCGUUGUCCGGAAUCAUUGGGCGUAAAGCGCGCGUAGGCGGCCCGGUAAGUCCGCUGUAAAAGUCCAGGGCUCAACCCUGGAAUGCCGGUGGAUACUGUCGGGCUAGAGUGCGGAAGAGGCGAGUGGAAUUCCUGGUGUAGCGGUGAAAUGCGCAGAUAUCAGGAGGAACACCAAUUGCGAAGGCAGCUCGCUGGGACGUUACUGACGCUGAGACGCGAAAGCGUGGGGAGCAAACAGG
This 253-nucleotide ribosomal RNA is filed under the name uncultured bacterium. RNAcentral describes it as "partial 16S ribosomal RNA". It matches the Rfam family "Bacterial small subunit ribosomal RNA", at positions 524 to 776 of the family's 1533-position model. The record is from RNAcentral.